AUACGUAGGGGGCAAGCGUUAUCCGGAUUUACUGGGUGUAAAGGGAGCGUAGAUGGAAUGGCAAGUCAGAUGUGAAAGGCAUGGGCUCAACCCGUGGACUGCAUUUGAAACUGCCAGUCUGGAGUGUCGGAGGGGCAGGCAGAAUUCCUGGUGUAGCGGUGAAAUGCGUAGAUAUCAGGAGGAAUACCGGUGGGGAAGGCGAGGUGCAGGACGAUAACUGCCAGUGAGGUUCGAAAGCGUGGGGAGAAAACAGGAUUAGUUUCCCUGUUAGUCAACGCGGUAAACGAUGAAUACUAGGGGCUGGCUUCCACAGGGAGUCGGUGCCGCCGCUAACGCAUUAAGUAUUCCACCUGGGGAGUACGUUCGCAAGAAUGAAACUCAAAUGAAUUGACGGGU
Molecule: ribosomal RNA, 396 nt
Filed under: uncultured bacterium
Lineage: Bacteria
Description: partial 16S ribosomal RNA
Rfam family: Bacterial small subunit ribosomal RNA
Source: RNAcentral